UUACGGCUAUAUCACGCUGAAACACUGGUUCUCGUACGAUCACUGAAAUUAAGCAACGUCGAGCCUGGUCAGUACCUGGAUAGGUGACUGCUUGGGAAUACCAUAUGCUAU
Non-coding RNA from Acanthosepion pharaonis, 111 nucleotides. NCBI's taxonomy places the organism in Eukaryota, Metazoa, Mollusca, Cephalopoda, Sepiida, Sepiidae. The record is from the annotation of a GenBank genome assembly.